Molecule: long non-coding RNA, 1445 nt
Organism: Neofelis nebulosa (Clouded leopard)
Lineage: Eukaryota; Metazoa; Chordata; Mammalia; Carnivora; Felidae
Exons: 2
Source: RefSeq, a predicted model, not a curated record
GCCCCUUCCAAUGGACGUCCAAAGAACCACAGAAGCUUCUGGUAUCACCACAUGGUUUUAAUGGCCUUACACAUCUGGUGAAUCAAAACGAAACAUCUCCCCUCUACAUCUCAUCCUUUUUUUCUUUUUUCUUUUUUUUUUUUUCUAGAUCCAGGUGAAAUUGAUUCUUCUUGGCAUGGCAGAGUUUUCAGAGUCCACAUUCCUUAAGCCCCCCCCCGUUAACAAGAUCGCUCGCUAAGUUUGGCUGUUGGCCCAUUCAGUCCGGUGCACAAAACGCCGCAGACUUAGUGCCCGGGCAACGUCUUCAGAUGUUCUCCGAACCAGAUCGGCCAUGCUCAACACCGUCCGCGUCCGUAAAAGAGGGGGUGGAAUUCGUAGAUUUCGUGAGGACCUGUGGCUUCCUUUUGCCACGCCAGAUACGCGGGGGCCAUUAGGAUGGGGUUGCGAAGGAUGAGCUGGAAAGGUGAAAAUGUUUUUCGGCCUGAGUUUCUCAACAGUGGAGGUGGAGAAGAAGGAAGAGCGACACCAGCACAACGCUGACCGUAGACUGGAGGGCGCACGCGCCUGACUUGGUGGUAGCGGCCGUGGCUGAGGCCUUGGUGGUGGUGGCGGCGGCGGCGGCGGCCGCCGGCGCCGCGGUGGUUUCCUGGGAAGAAACCUCCUGGGGCAGGAGCAGCGCCAGAAGCAGCAGCCCCAGCUGCAGCCUCAUCAACAUCCCUCUUCUCAUGUCCCCUGUGUCGCGCUUGGUGCUCAGGGGAACGAAGGAUCCGGAGCUGCAGGUGGCUGCGGGCGAAAUGGCGAGGGCGGUGCCGGCAGGGUCUUACUUACGAGGGAGCGUCACAAAGCCUGAUGCGCCAAGGGCCUUCCGGCGCCAGCCAGCGUCACAAGGCCCGACCCCGAGGGCCCCGCCCCCUGGACCCUGGGCUCCGCCCAAAGCCCGCCCCCCUCCGCCGCAGCCUCAGAUGCCAGCAGGUGCUUCCCGCCCACGGGCGACCCCAUUCCUUUGCUUUGGAAACAAAAACGUCCGUAACUUGUUGAGAGCGCCCGAGCCCCAUGACUUAGAAAUCUAAGGUUCCCCCUGUCUUCCAAGCAGCGUGUGAUCCCUCCAGAUCCUUCAAAUUGGCCCAUGUUUGUGGCUGGUCAGUAGCACAGAGCGUGACCUCUGAGUUUUGUCCCCCCGAGGUCCUCCAUUGUGAUGUGGAGAAAUCAUCUGUCAUUGCCUAGCAACUGAAGCCCCUGUCUACACUUAGGGAGGACCCACCUGCCGGAGGCCGUCUUUCCCCAUCUCCUCAGAUGCUUGGAUGCAGCCGCGUUUCGAGUUUCCUGUUAAUCAAUCAGAUGUCUCCAGCCCACACUUUGGAAAGAAAGUUCCUGACAACUUCUCUGCUACAUUAGCCAGAUUGAGUUUGUGUUGUGUGAAAUAAAAGCCUUGACUGACAGGUUAA